UUGCCACAGAGACAGAAAGAUGAGAAGCACACUUCCACUCCAAGGUUCCAAGACUCGAGGCUUUUGUCAACCGCGAUGAAGUUAUAUUGCCAUCACGUGGCACCUAAAUCUUGAGAAAUAAGUAAAGAAGGCAAGUGCAAUGUAUGACUUGCUCGGCAACUACAAUAUUGGCUUUGUAGUAACUGGAAUUUGCAAUAUUGCUGCAGCUAGCAUCCUUGCUUUCAUUCCAUGGCUGCAAAGAGAAACAACACAGUCAUCGAAAAACUAUCUUAAUGCGUCUGCAUGUGUGAUAACAAACACCAUAGUUCCUUGGAAAUCACCCACUCCUUCGUUAGGGGUAAAUACCAUUAUUCUACACUCUGUUCUAAACAAGUAGAAUCUGGCUUUGCCACAGAAAUUUGAUGACCAACCUGAAGACAAAGGAGAGCAUCUUGAGGGCAGAGCUGAUAUGAGGCCAGUGCAGGAUAUACCAGUAUCAGAUGCAGAAACUUUGGGAUCUGUCAGACCAACAGAGCGCAGAGUGUCUUUUGCAGAUGACCAACCUCAGGAUAAAGGAGAGCAUCCUGAGAGCAGAGCUGAUGCCAAGAGUUCAGGAUCUACACAUCCGACAGGAUACCCUCCCCUAAUAAGAGGAAUGGCUUUCCUAGAGAACUCUGAAGGUGAUGAAGAGCCCAGCCAAUUCGAAACCAAUAAAAACCCCCUUUAGAAGUGAAACUUCAACACAUGUAAUACAGGCACAGUAAAUGCCUUCGACUUCCCAUGGAAAAGAAGGGGGUAUGGCAUUUGCCAGUGAUGAUGAUGAUGGUGAACAAGCACCACAACAGAAAUGAUCAGAGUGCAGCAGCAAUGUUAAUGAUACUGGAUCAGUUACAAAUCUGUCUGUCUGGCCCGUCAAGGGUACAUUAUUUGUCUGAGUAGUAUUCACAAAACAUUAUUUACUAAAAAGCACUUCUCUUAGCUGUAUAUUAUUUUUGUAAGUUAGAUGUACAAACAAUUUGUAAUUGACUGGAUUUCUAGUGGUGGCUGACAAGUUUUUGACAAUUGCUUUUUAAAAAUAAAAUGUUGUUGUUUA
This is a non-coding RNA of Podarcis muralis (Common wall lizard), 1072 nucleotides long. Lineage: Eukaryota; Metazoa; Chordata; Lepidosauria; Squamata; Lacertidae. The record is from RefSeq and is a predicted model, not a curated record.